This 459-nucleotide ribosomal RNA is filed under the name uncultured bacterium. RNAcentral describes it as "partial 16S ribosomal RNA". It matches the Rfam family "Bacterial small subunit ribosomal RNA", at positions 338 to 795 of the family's 1533-position model. The record is from RNAcentral.
CCUACGGGAGGCAGCAGUGAGGAAUAUUGGUCAAUGGACGAAAGCCUGAACCAGCCAAGUAGCGUGAAGGAUGAAUGCCCUAUGGGUUGUAAACUUCUUUUAUAGGGGCAUAAAAUGUUCCACGUGUGGGUUUUUGUAUGUACCAUAUGAAUACGGAUCGGCUAACUCGGUUCCAGCAGCCGCGGUCAUUCGGAGGAUGCGAGCGUUAUCGGGUUUUAUUGGGUUAAAGGGGUUCGCAGGGGGAAGAUCAAGUCAGCGGUAAAAUUGAGGGGCUCAACCGCUUCGUGCCGUUGAAACUGGUUUUCUUGAGUGAGUGAGAAGUAUGCGGAAUUCGUGGGGUAGCGGUGAAAUGCAUAGAUAUCACGCAGAACUCCGAUGGCGAAGGCAGCAUACCGGCGCUCAACUGACGCUCAUGCACGAAAGUGUGGGUAUCGAACAGGAUUAGAUACCCGAGUAGUC